UCUGGGUGUGGUGGCGCGUGCCUGUAGUCCCAGCUACUCAGGAGGCUGAGGUGGGAGGAUCACUUGAGCCCCGGAGUUCUGGGCUGUAGUGCGUUAUGCUGAUCGGGUGUCCGCACUAAGUUCAACAUCAAUAUGGUGACCUCCCGGGAGCAGGGAACCACCAGGUUGCCUAAGGGGAGGGGAACUGGCCCAGGUCGGAAACGGAACAGGUCAAAACUCCGGUGCUGAUCAGUAGUGGGAUCGUGCCUGUGAAUAGCCACUGCGCUCCAGCCUGGGCAACACACCGAGAAGCUUCUA
RNAcentral lists this signal recognition particle RNA (297 nucleotides) under Callithrix jacchus (white-tufted-ear marmoset). RNAcentral describes it as "Metazoan signal recognition particle RNA (ENSCJAG00000067633.2)". It matches the Rfam family "Metazoan signal recognition particle RNA". Rfam says of the family: The signal recognition particle (SRP) is a universally conserved ribonucleoprotein. It is involved in the co-translational targeting of proteins to membranes. Lineage: Eukaryota; Metazoa; Chordata; Mammalia; Primates; Cebidae. The record is from Rfam by way of RNAcentral.